This 253-nucleotide ribosomal RNA is filed under the name uncultured bacterium. Its description in RNAcentral is "partial 16S ribosomal RNA". It matches the Rfam family "Bacterial small subunit ribosomal RNA", at positions 524 to 776 of the family's 1533-position model. The record is from RNAcentral.
GACGAACCGUGCGAACGUUGUUCGGAAUCACUGGGCUUAAAGGGCGCGUAGGCGGGCUGCCAAGUCUGGGGUGAAAUGCCGCGGCUCAACCGUGGAACUGCCUUAGAUACUGUCGGCCUCGAGGAAGGUAGGGGCAUGCGGAACUGUAGGUGGAGCGGUGAAAUGCGUUGAUAUCUACAGGAACUCCGGUGGCGAAAGCGGCGUGCUGGACCUUUUCUGACGCUGAGGCGCGAAAGCUAGGGGAGCAAACGGG